This 253-nucleotide ribosomal RNA is filed under the name uncultured Gemmata sp. RNAcentral's name for it is "partial 16S ribosomal RNA". It matches the Rfam family "Bacterial small subunit ribosomal RNA", at positions 524 to 776 of the family's 1533-position model. Lineage: Bacteria; Pseudomonadati; Planctomycetota; Planctomycetia; Gemmatales; Gemmataceae. The record is from RNAcentral.
GACGAACCGUCCUAACGUUGUUCGGAAUCACUGGGCUUAAAGGGCGCGUAGGCGGAUGAGCAAGUCCGGGGUGAAAUCUUUCGGCUUAACCGGAAAAGUGCCUUGGAUACUGCUCGUCUUGAGGGAGGUAGGGGCAUGUGGAACUUCUGGUGGAGCGGUGAAAUGCGUUGAUAUCAGAAGGAACGCCGGUGGCGAAAGCGACGUGCUGGCCCUCUUCUGACGCUGAGGCGCGAAAGCUAGGGGAGCAAACGGG